RNAcentral lists this ribosomal RNA (1346 nucleotides) under uncultured bacterium. Its description in RNAcentral is "partial 16S ribosomal RNA". It matches the Rfam family "Bacterial small subunit ribosomal RNA", at positions 28 to 1381 of the family's 1533-position model. The record is from RNAcentral.
GACGAACGCUGGCGGCGUGCUUAACACAUGCAAGUCGAACGGAAAGGCCCUGCUUUUGUGGGGUGCUCGAGUGGCGAACGGGUGAGUAACACGUGAGUAACCUGCCCUUGACUUUGGGAUAACUUCAGGAAACUGGGGCUAAUACCGGAUAGGAGCUCCUGCUGCAUGGUGGGGGUUGGAAAGUUUCGGCGGUUGGGGAUGGACUCGCGGCUUAUCAGCUUGUUGGUGGGGUAGUGGCUUACCAAGGCUUUGACGGGUAGCCGGCCUGAGAGGGUGACCGGCCACAUUGGGACUGAGAUACGGCCCAGACUCCUACGGGAGGCAGCAGUGGGGAAUAUUGCACAAUGGGCGGAAGCCUGAUGCAGCAACGCCGCGUGCGGGAUGACGGCCUUCGGGUUGUAAACCGCUUUCGCCCGUGACGAAGCGUGAAUGACGGGAAUGGGUAAAGAAGCACCGGCUAACUACGUGCCAGCAGCCGCGGUGAUACCUAAGGUGCGAGCGUUGUCCGGAUUUAUUGGGCGUAAAGGGCUCGUAGGUGGUUGAUCGCGUCGGAAGUGUAAUCUUGGGGCUUAACCCUGAGCGUGCUUUCGAUACGGGUUGACUUGAGGAAGGUAGGGGAGAAUGGAAUUCCUGGUGGAGCGGUGGAAUGCGCAGAUAUCAGGAGGAACACCAGUGGCGAAGGCGGUUCUCUGGGCCUUUCCUGACGCUGAGGAGCGAAAGCGUGGGGAGCGAACAGGCUUAGAUACCCUGGUAGUCCACGCUGUAAACGGUGGGUACUAGGUGUGGGGUCCAUUCCACGGGUUCCGUGCCGUAGCUAACGCUUUAAGUACCCCGCCUGGGGAGUACGGCCGCAAGGCUAAAACUCAAAGGAAUUGACGGGGCCCCGCACAAGCGGCGGAGCAUGCGGAUUAAUUCGAUGCAACGCGUAGAACCUUACCUGGGUUUGACAUGGAUCGGGAGUGCUCAGAGAUGGGUGUGCCUCUUUUGGGGUCGGUUCACAGGUGGUGCAUGGCUGUCGUCAGCUCGUGUCGUGAGAUGUUGGGUUAAGUCCCGCAACGAGCGCAACCCUUGUUCACUGUUGCCAGCACGUUAUGGUGGGGACUCAGUGGAGACCGCCGGGGUCAACUCGGAGGAAGGUGGGGAUGACGUCAAGUCAUCAUGCCCCUUAUGUCCAGGGCUUCACGCAUGCUACAAUGGCUGGUACAGAGAGUGGCGAGCCUGUGAGGGUGAGCGAAUCUCGGAAAGCCGGUCUCAGUUCGGAUUGGGGUCUGCAACUCGACCUCAUGAAGUCGGAGUCGCUAGUAAUCGCAGAUCAGCAACGCUGCGGUGAAUACGUUCCCGGGGCU